AAAACUUUCAACAACGGAUCUCUUGGUUCAGGCAUCGAUGAAGAGCGCAGUGAAAUGCGAUAAGUAAUGUGAAUUGCAGAAUUCAGUGAAUCAUCGCAUCUUGGAACGCACAUUGCUCCGUCGGGUAUUCCGGAGGGCAUGCCUGUUCGAGCGUCAUU
Molecule: ribosomal RNA, 158 nt
Filed under: Diaporthe vaccinii
Lineage: Eukaryota; Fungi; Ascomycota; Sordariomycetes; Diaporthales; Diaporthaceae
Description: 5.8S ribosomal RNA
Rfam family: 5.8S ribosomal RNA
About the family: 5.8S ribosomal RNA (5.8S rRNA) is a component of the large subunit of the eukaryotic ribosome.
Source: RNAcentral